Non-coding RNA from Vicugna pacos (alpaca), 585 nucleotides. The record is from RefSeq and is a predicted model, not a curated record. Lineage: Eukaryota; Metazoa; Chordata; Mammalia; Artiodactyla; Camelidae.
GAGGAGCACAAGAUAAGGACCAUUUUGGUGAGAACUGAGAAGAGCUCAAGCAUCUGCCCUUCCCAACAAGGCAAGGACAUGGCCAUGAUGUCUCCUUGCUAUCAACAUUCUUGUCCCCAAGACAGACUAGCAAGUCACAGCCCUGCAGAGUUUGUUGGUUUUUGUUAAAGAGAAUACCACUAUAAGGGAGAUGUGAGACCAUCUGCAUCCCAAAGAAUAAACAGGCAUUAGACAGAGAAGGACAAAAGGCCUCUGGUAAAGACAGUGGGAUGAUCAAAGGCAUUCAUGUCCAAAUUAUUCCACUGUGUUAAGUGUGCUCAGAAGAAAUAUUUGAGUGCAUCAAAAGAUGAGUGCUAUAGUAAGGAAGGAGGUAAGACUGAAGAAAAUAUGGAGACAUAAAUGCUCAACCAGCGUUACAUGCAGAAAGUGUACCUGGGCAUAAUGGUAGUGUCAAAGAAACAAGUUAGAAAUUGGUUGUGAUAAUGAAAGAGUGAGCUAGGGGGGAGUUAAGAAACAGGUGGGAGAAACAUUAGAGAAAUUACAGGGAGAGACAUUGCAAGUUAUGUAGGGUGGUUAGAAAUGGGU